CAAAAGUUAAAUGAGAUAUGCAGGGUUUACCUAAGUCCUGCUGUACAAUUUGGCUUCUGGAUUUUUUCUUCCACCAGAGCAAACGAAAGCAAGUCAUUGCUAGAGUAUGGGAUUUGCUUCUUAGAAGCUUCAGAUAUGUGUUCAGAAGCUCAUGCAAAGAGGAGUUCGAUAAGAACCUGAGGGUAAAGAAGAAUAGCCAAAUAAAUUAUUGGGAAUGGUUCCUGAAUGCUCCUGUUUUCCUUCCAGAAUGGUGCUUCCUCAAGCCUGACUUUAAUUGCAGUUUGACAUGCUGGUUUUUCCCAUUGACAAUUCAAUGAUCGAGACAAUAUAUAGGUUGAAAAAGAGGAUGAGAAGAGCCACCCAACCUCAUCUGAAAAGGCCACAGAAAUUAACAAGGUGAUAAAAUUCGGAUAUCUUUGAGCAGAAAUGACACAAGUGCCCUGUGAUUAUAAUUGCCUUGCGAAGACGAGAGAGGAUGAUUUGUGUGGCUUGUAAUAAACAAAUGCACACGAGGGAGACAUAACAAAUGAGGGCAUUUGGGUAAUUAUCAUCAUUACAUUGCAUAACUUGCCUACAUUUAUAAACAUAAUUUAAAAAAAUGCUUACUGUACAUUAUUCACUUGAAAAGGAUAAAGUCGGUAUUCUAGUGACUAGUACACUUUAGAUUCAGUGGUUGUAGUACUUGUGCUUUAUUUACCAGCAUUGUUUGUUUUUAUCGUAUGCAAGGCACGGAAAUCCAGUUUUUCCUCCAAAGUAAAAGGAAGAAAACCCAUGUCUGCUUUAUGUUUACAGAAUUUUCUUGUGAAAUGUCUACUUUCGCGCCUCAGUAGUCAUAUAAUUUUGUCAGCAUCAGUCAGGUGUGACGUUGACUGUUUUGGAGAUAACUGUAAUGUUAAAGUAAGCUCAGACUUUUGGCCUUUCCAGGCUAUCAAGGGGCAACUUAACAACCGCUAAUGAUCUGACAGGUCGACCUAAGAAAUUUUCAACAAUUUUCCGUUGUACAAAAAACACAACGGGAUCAGCCAUUGACCACAUCCGCUGGUAGAUCAAGUUAUCUUUAGUUCGCUCCCCGGCUCAUUUAUAUUAUUGCACUGUUGGUCAAAAUUGUAGUUGUGACCAUCAUGUUACAUUUUUUGUCAACAUAGACUUUUUGAAUUCUGUUACCACUGAAGUUGAUAAAUUCAAGAAGCUGAUUAACUUUAUUUCCGAUAUAUAUGUACAGGUCAAGUACAUAUUAUUGCACCGUCGGUCAAUAUUGUGAGCUGCGACCAUCAUGGCAACUUUCUUUUUUGUCGGCGGACUUCUGAAUUCUGAUAGAGUUGAUAAAUCCAAGAGGUUCAGUAAGUUUAUUUCAGAUAUAUGUACAGGUGAAGUAGUACAUAUUAUUGCACCGUUGGUCAACAUUGUGAGCGGUGAUCAUCAUGGUAACUUUUUUUUUUCGCCCGCACCGACUUUUGAAUUCUGAUACAGCUUAAGCUGAUAAAUUCAAGAAGUUCAGUCAGUUUAUUUCUGAUAUAUGUACAUGUCAAGUAUAAUUUAUCAUUUCAGAUUUCAAAGACAAGUAGAGAAGUGUGUCCAUCAAAUCAGUCUCUCUGCUAGGCAGGCUGACAGCUGUAUCAACUAGCAGACUUGUCUGGUCAAGGAGUAUCCAUCAGAACGGUUCCUCUCAAGCUUUUGAGUUGAAUUGUCCCAUUCGUUCUCAUGCAAGUCAAGAUACUUGUUUAGCCUGAACACUGCAAGAGAUAAACACAGCGACCCGGUUUCAGUUCAUUUUCUACCGGAUAAUACUCGGUCUAGAUCAUUGCUCAGCUAUCUGUCCAACAAAAACAACUUAGUCCAAAAUCCUUUGGCGAUGCAAUUUCUUUAUAAUACGCCGAAAUGGUCAAGCAUAUUCCUUUGUUGUGGGAGCUGAAAGAAAUCAAGAACCUAUGUAUACGAAGUAAGCCCUAGGGUUUGAUUUCGUUAUAUUUUGCCAACAGAGUCUUGGAACUGACGGUGUACAUAAGAACUGCUGGUUAAUUAAUGCAUUUGUAUGACAUUGGAGAAAUGUGCACGUGAUGCUUGACAACACCCAUUCAUUCAAAUAUUCAGGAGCAGAACAAAGAUAUGACAAUCAAUUUCUAGAGCAAAGUUGCACACAUAUGCUGGUGUCAUCAUGUAAUCAAG
Long non-coding RNA from Triticum aestivum (bread wheat), 2166 nucleotides. RefSeq lists it as uncharacterized. The record is from RefSeq and is a predicted model, not a curated record. NCBI's taxonomy places the organism in Eukaryota, Viridiplantae, Streptophyta, Magnoliopsida, Poales, Poaceae. The transcript is spliced from 3 exons.